UAUCAGCCCGUUUUUAACUUAAAGUAUAUUCUUUUGAUUGUUAUUUAUAAAGUUAUACACAAUGCGUUUAUUACACACAUAUUGUUUAUUUUUUUGUUUUUAUUUUAUAAAACCGUCAGUCACUACCAUGACAAAAGGAUUAUGGCAAAAAUUAGGAAAAUAUAUGGAUAUAACAAAUGAAAAACUUGAAAACGUAGACGAC
Daktulosphaira vitifoliae (grape phylloxera) is the source of this 202-nucleotide long non-coding RNA. RefSeq lists it as uncharacterized. NCBI's taxonomy places the organism in Eukaryota, Metazoa, Arthropoda, Insecta, Hemiptera, Phylloxeridae. The record is from RefSeq and is a predicted model, not a curated record. The transcript is spliced from 3 exons.